CGAGCUCUUCGGAGCUAGCGGCGGACGGGUUAGUAACGCGUGGGAACGUGCCCUUCACUGCGGAAUAGCCACUGGAAACGGUGAGUAAUACCGCAUACGCCCUUCGGGGGAAAGAUUUAUCGGUGAAGGAUCGGCCCGCGUUAGAUUAGAUAGUUGGUGGGGUAACGGCCUACCAAGUCUACGAUCUAUAGCUGGUUUUAGAGGAUGAUCAGCAACACUGGGACUGAGACACGGCCCAGACUCCUACGGGAGGCAGCAGUGGGGAAUCUUGGACAAUGGGCGCAAGCCUGAUCCAGCCAUGCCGCGUGAGUGAUGAAGGCCUUAGGGUCGUAAAGCUCUUUCGCCAGAGAUGAUAAUGACAGUAUCUGGUAAAGAAACCCCGGCUAACUCCGUGCCAGCAGCCGCGGUAAUACGGAGGGGGUUAGCGUUGUUCGGAAUUACUGGGCGUAAAGCGCACGUAGGCGGAUCAGAAAGUUGGGGGUGAAAUCCCGGGGCUCAACCCCGGAACUGCCUCCAAAACUCCUGGUCUUGAGUUCGAGAGAGGUGAGUGGAAUUCCGAGUGUAGAGGUGAAAUUCGUAGAUAUUCGGAGGAACACCAGUGGCGAAGGCGGCUCACUGGCUCGAUACUGACGCUAAGGUGCGAAAGUGUGGGGAGCAAACAGGAUUAGAUACCCUGGUAGUCCACACCGUAAACGAUAAAUGCCAGUCGUCGGGUAGCAUGCUAUUCGGUGACACACCUAACGGAUUAAGCAUUCCGCCUGGGGAGUACGGUCGCAAGAUUAAAACUCAGAGGAAUUGACGGGGGCCCGCACAAGCCGUGGAGCAUGUGGUUUAAUUCGAAGCAACGCGCAGAACCUUACCAACCCUUGA
RNAcentral lists this ribosomal RNA (870 nucleotides) under Marinovum sp. Its description in RNAcentral is "bacterial SSU rRNA". It matches the Rfam family "Bacterial small subunit ribosomal RNA", at positions 67 to 984 of the family's 1533-position model. Lineage: Bacteria; Pseudomonadati; Pseudomonadota; Alphaproteobacteria; Rhodobacterales; Roseobacteraceae. The record is from RNAcentral.